UACAGAGGGUGCGAGCGUUAAUCGGAAUUACUGGGCGUAAAGCGCACGUAGGUGGCGACGUAAGUCGGGUGUGAAAGCCCCGGGCUCAACCUGGGAAUUGCAUUCGAGACUGCAUUGCUGGAGUACGGAAGAGGAGGGCGGAAUUCCCGGUGUAGCGGUGAAAUGCGUAGAUAUCGAGAGGAACACCUGCGGCGAAGGCGGGUUGCUGGGCUGACACUGACGCUGAGGCGCGAAAGCUAGGGGAGCAAACGGG
This 253-nucleotide ribosomal RNA is filed under the name uncultured bacterium. RNAcentral's name for it is "partial 16S ribosomal RNA". It matches the Rfam family "Bacterial small subunit ribosomal RNA", at positions 524 to 776 of the family's 1533-position model. The record is from RNAcentral.